Felis catus (domestic cat) is the source of this 763-nucleotide long non-coding RNA. RefSeq lists it as uncharacterized. The record is from RefSeq and is a predicted model, not a curated record. NCBI's taxonomy places the organism in Eukaryota, Metazoa, Chordata, Mammalia, Carnivora, Felidae. The transcript is spliced from 3 exons.
CUCAUUUUGCCUUCUCAGAAAGACCAGCACCAGCUGGCUGGCAUCCUCUUCUUGGAUACCUGAGUCCCAGGUUCUUGGGGCCUCUUCUCCACGAUCAUUGAGUUACAAGCGCCAGCUAGGCAGCCUGCUUUCAAACUCCUAGGUUUUACAGUAUUCCUACUUUCUUCUCCUUAUUAUGCCAGCCCUACAGGUGGCAGCUUCCUACUGUGGUUGCUACCUCAACGAUACUUCAGUGUUUCCUUUUUUCUCUCUUUGAUCCUCUAGUAACUGUUAAAUCAAUUCCUUCUAUUAAAUUUUCUAGUUAAAAUAGUUGGUAUGACUUCUGCUUUCUUAACUGAUAGACUAUUUCUUAAUCUGUGCUUUUUCUUUGAAAAUAACAGAAACUUACUUGAACUCGUUUAAGAAGAAAUAGACUUUAUCAUAGAAUAUAUGUUGCUCCUGGAAUCCUGAGACAGGAAGUGCAAUCAGGCCUGACAUUACUUUGUGAAAUUAGAUUGGGACACGCUUUUCCCUGAAGAGCUCUACAUCCACAAAUGUUUCCGAAUACAUGAAAUCAUUCAGAGUAUGAAGGGUCAUCAUGCAGAGGAGAGUGUCCAACUAUUCCCUGCUGCCAUGAAUGACACACUACCAUCUGCCACCGAACCAUGAUCUAAUCAAGUUUCCAAACCCAGCUGGGUGGAGUCUUCUAAUAGCCUCCGUUCUAACAGCGUCUAACUGUGGAAGUGAUAAUGGUGGUGAAUUACAGGCAUUUUGCACAGAAUAA